Molecule: ribosomal RNA, 253 nt
Filed under: uncultured bacterium
Lineage: Bacteria
Description: partial 16S ribosomal RNA
Rfam family: Bacterial small subunit ribosomal RNA
Source: RNAcentral
UACGUAGGGGGCAAGCGUUGUCCGGAUUUAUUGGGCGUAAAGAGCGUGUAGGCGGCCCGACAAGUCUGCUGUGAAAACUCGAGGCUCAACCUCGAGCUGUCGGUGGAAACUGUCUGGCUAGAGUCCGGAAGAGGAGAGUGGAAUUCCUGGUGUAGCGGUGAAAUGCGCAGAUAUCAGGAAGAACACCUAUGGCGAAGGCAGCUCUCUGGGACGGUACUGACGCUGAGACGCGAAAGCGUGGGGAGCGAACAGG